This 498-nucleotide ribosomal RNA is filed under the name uncultured bacterium. Its description in RNAcentral is "partial 16S ribosomal RNA". It matches the Rfam family "Bacterial small subunit ribosomal RNA", at positions 30 to 523 of the family's 1533-position model. The record is from RNAcentral.
AUUGAACGCUGGCGGCAUGCUUUACACAUGCAAGUCGAACGGCAGCGCGGGGCAACCUGGCGGCGAGUGGCGAACGGGUGAGUAAUAUAUCGGAACGUACCCAAGAGUGGGGGAUAACGUAGCGAAAGUUACGCUAAUACCGCAUACGAUCUAAGGAUGAAAGUGGGGGAUCGCAAGACCUCAUGCUCCUGGAGCGGCCGAUAUCUGAUUAGCUAGUUGGUGAGGUAAAGGCUCACCAAGGCGACGAUCAGUAGCUGGUCUGAGAGGACGACCAGCCACACUGGAACUGAGACACGGUCCAGACUCCUACGGGAGGCAGCAGUGGGGAAUUUUGGACAAUGGGCGCAAGCCUGAUCCAGCAAUGCCGCGUGAGUGAAGAAGGCCUUCGGGUUGUAAAGCUCUUUUGUCAGGGAAGAAACGGUCUCAGCUAAUAUCUGGGGCUAAUGACGGUACCUGAAGAAUAAGCACCGGCUAACUACGUGCCAGCAGCCGCGGUAA